CGCGUAGGUGGUUCGUUAAGUUGGAUGUGAAAGCCCCGGGCUCAACCUGGGAACUGCAUCCAAAACUGGCGAGCUAGAGUACGGUAGAGGGUGGUGGAAUUUCCUGUGUAGCGGUGAAAUGCGUAGAUAUAGGAAGGAACACCAGUGGCGAAGGCGACCACCUGGACUGAUACUGACACUGAGGUGCGAAAGCGUGGGGAGGCAAAACA
RNAcentral lists this ribosomal RNA (209 nucleotides) under uncultured bacterium. RNAcentral describes it as "partial 16S ribosomal RNA". It matches the Rfam family "Bacterial small subunit ribosomal RNA", at positions 568 to 776 of the family's 1533-position model. The record is from RNAcentral.